GCACAGGUUUACCUGUGUGACUGCGUACCUUUUGUAUAAUGGGUCAGCGACUUAUAUUCUGUAGCAAGGUUAACCGAAUAGGGGAGCCGGAGGGAAACCGAGUCUUAAUUGGGCGUUAAGUUGCAGGGUAUAGACCCGAAACCCGGUGAUCUAGCCAUGGGCAGGUUGAAGGUUGGGUAACACUAACUGGAGGACCGAACCGACUAAUGUUGAAAAAUUAGCGGAUGACCUGUGGCUGGGGGUGAAAGGCCAAUCAAACCGGGAGAUAGCUGGUUCUCCCCGAAAGCUAUUUAGGUAGCGCCUCGUGAAUUCAUCUCCGGGGGUAGAGCACUGUUUCGGCUAGGGGGCCAUCCCGGCUUACCAACCCGAUGCAAACUGCGAAUACCGGAGAAUGUUAUCACGGGAGACACACGGCGGGUGCUAACGUCCGUCGUGAAGAGGGAAACAACCCAGACCGCCAGCUAAGGUCCCAAAGUCAUGGUUAAGUGGGAAACGAUGUGGGAAGGCCCAGACAGCCAGGAUGUUGGCUUAGAAGCAGCCAUCAUUUAAAGAAAGCGUAAUAGCUCACUGGUCGAGUCGGCCUGCGCGGAAGAUGUAACGGGGCUAAACCAUGCACCGAAGCUGCGGCAGCGACGCUGAUGCGUUGUUGGGUAGGGGAGCGUUCUGUAAGCCUG
RNAcentral lists this ribosomal RNA (674 nucleotides) under Salmonella enterica subsp. enterica serovar Chester. RNAcentral's name for it is "partial 23S ribosomal RNA". It matches the Rfam family "Bacterial large subunit ribosomal RNA", at positions 579 to 1251 of the family's 2925-position model. Lineage: Bacteria; Pseudomonadati; Pseudomonadota; Gammaproteobacteria; Enterobacterales; Enterobacteriaceae. The record is from RNAcentral.